Tachyglossus aculeatus (Australian echidna) is the source of this 138-nucleotide small nucleolar RNA. The record is from RefSeq and is a predicted model, not a curated record. NCBI's taxonomy places the organism in Eukaryota, Metazoa, Chordata, Mammalia, Monotremata, Tachyglossidae.
CCCUUCCCGGGGUCGCACCUGCAGAGUUUCCAGUCCUCUACCAGUCUCGACUCCGGGAGGGAGAGUCAAGCAGAGGCAUACCCAUUCCAUUCCUACCUUGGGCAGUGGCUAGGGAGUGGAAGGCAAUCUGCUACAGGU